AUAGAACUAGUGUGAACGUGUGAUUGAUGGUCGGAUUGGACUUAUUGGGCCAAAGGUGCUGUUUCCAUGCAAUGGCUCCACAUGACUCGAUUGUUUAAGUAUUUCCCU
Amblyraja radiata (thorny skate) is the source of this 108-nucleotide long non-coding RNA. RefSeq lists it as uncharacterized. The transcript is spliced from 3 exons. NCBI's taxonomy places the organism in Eukaryota, Metazoa, Chordata, Chondrichthyes, Rajiformes, Rajidae. The record is from RefSeq and is a predicted model, not a curated record.